Molecule: ribosomal RNA, 281 nt
Filed under: uncultured bacterium
Lineage: Bacteria
Description: partial 16S ribosomal RNA
Rfam family: Bacterial small subunit ribosomal RNA
Source: RNAcentral
GCCUACGGGGCGCAGCAGUGAGGAAUAUUGGUCAAUGGGCGGGAGCCUGAACCAGCCACGCCGCGUGAGGGAAGAAGGUACUGAGAAUUGAAAACCUCUUUUGCCAGGGGACAAAGGCGGCCACGGGUGGCCGUAAGAGGGUACCUGGAGAAAAAGCAUCGGCUAACUCCGUGCCAGCAGCCGCGGUAAUACGGAGGAUGCGCGCGUUAUCCGGAUCUAUUGGGUUUAAAGGGUGCGCAGGCGGCGUGUCAAGUCAGCGGUCAAAUGUCGGGGCUCAACCC